Symphalangus syndactylus (siamang) is the source of this 159-nucleotide long non-coding RNA. RefSeq lists it as uncharacterized. The record is from RefSeq and is a predicted model, not a curated record. Lineage: Eukaryota; Metazoa; Chordata; Mammalia; Primates; Hylobatidae.
GUGGCUGUGUCAAAACCACAGAAAUGGAGAGGCAGCAUUCGGCAGUUGGUUGAUGAUGCAAGAAGAACAGAGAUGAGAGAGCAACUUGGUCUGGUUGAGGAAAGAAGACUUCCUGAGAAAGCUGUCAUUUCAGACAACACCUUGUCAGAAUGUGGCCCG